CUCAUCGGACGACAGCAGCUGUGAGGGCGCUCUGAGCCCUGCGGAGCGCGAGCUGCUCGACUUCUCCAGCUGGUUAGGGGGCUACUGAGCGCUCCGCCUCGCGAGCGGCCCUACUGGGAGCCAGCGCAUUGGACUGGUCCGCGGCUCGGUCCCCGCCAUCCCCGCGGGCCGAGCCACUGCCGAGCCGGGGAUCCCGCCGGCGCGUUCUGGCCGUCCAGCCCGACCGAGGGCUAGUGUGGAAGCCGGUCUGCCUGACCUCAUCCGGGCGGCAGCUUCCUUGGACCCCAGCCACCCUGCCCCCAGAGGCCUUCCACCGGAGUGGGGAUGCGCAGCAACACCCGGAGGUUUGAAGGGGAGAGAAUUUUGUGAGGACACAGACAAUCCGUUUUAACCCGUACACUUGAACUGCCUAGGGACAUUGGCAAUAUGAAGAGUUAUUUUUGUACAAAGAACCCUUAGAUUUGGAACACAAUAAAGCUUGUCUACCCCCGCCCCA
This is a non-coding RNA of Vicugna pacos (alpaca), 496 nucleotides long. The record is from RefSeq and is a predicted model, not a curated record. Lineage: Eukaryota; Metazoa; Chordata; Mammalia; Artiodactyla; Camelidae.